CGGUGGGGCGCGAGCUUCCUCGGGGAGGUCCCGGUCCCUGCCGCCCGCCUCCCGCCGCCGGCCGCCCGCCGCGUCCUUGGCCCGCCUCCAGGGGAACCUCGAUUUUCCGAAUUCCGGAAGGCUGGCCGUCCUUCGGCAACUGAUAAGGACAGGAGCGCACGGUAACCGAUCCUAACAAUACCCGGAAAGAAAUACCGGGCCGAGAAAGAACUAAUAAUAGCCGCCGGCUCGAGCUCUGCUCGCGUGCUCAGCGCUCUUAGGAACAAUAAUGACAACAACCACAAUAGCCACCAUUUAUUGAGGGCUAUGUCUGUGCCAGGCACGGUGCUGAGCGCUUUGCAGGCGACAACCCUGGGAGAACCCGCGGUCUUGGCCAUAAAUGAUGCCACAUCCAAACCACCUCCGACAGCCCACAGGGCUUUGGCCCCAGGUCCCAAGAGGCGCAGCCCCUGCAGGGUGUGAGUGGGUUCCUGCGGCCUCCGAUCCCCUGGCUCCAACUUUCAUGCCUAGCCCUUUGCAGCUGGGGACACCUGCUCAGACACAUGUGGCAUCUGGCCCACUCUGGGCCCCAGGCCUCCACCUUGGGGAUACCAGUUUUCAAGAAGAGGACUCGGGCCCUCAGAAUGGGACUCAGGUCAUUUCGGGCUCCAACACUUGCCAGCAGCCCUUCUGUCCCUUCCCACUCGCCACUGCUUCAGGCUCCUGAGAGUGCUGCUAAUGAUGACUGAAUAAGUAAGGCCGUAUUUAUGAAGUAUCUAUUCCAAUGAAAAUCCCACAGCGAUAUAAUAUUCACUGUUCACAGGAAAAUGCUGGCUUAAGCAAUCAGCAGUGACUGGUUAAUGCUUAGCAGGCUUUUGGGGCUUGGGACUGAGUGAUGCAGAAUAGCAAGGGAAAAGAAGAAUACUGGACUUGUUUUAGCUCUCCAGAUUAUACCAGAUUUUCGCCAUCAGCAUCAUAAAAAAUAAUGCUUAAGGUAAAUUGCCAGUUUUUG
Molecule: long non-coding RNA, 991 nt
Organism: Octodon degus (degu)
Lineage: Eukaryota; Metazoa; Chordata; Mammalia; Rodentia; Octodontidae
Exons: 3
Source: RefSeq, a predicted model, not a curated record